GUAACGCGUGGGAACGUGCCCUUCACUACGGAAUAGUCCCGGGAAAACUGGGUUUAAUACCGUAUACGCCCUUCGGGGGAAAGAAUUUCGGUGAAGGAUCGGCCCGCGUCUGAUUAGGUAGUUGGUGGGGUAACGGCCUACCAAGCCUACGAUCAGUAGCUGGUUUGAGAGGAUGAUCAGCCACACUGGGACUGAGACACGGCCCAGACUCCUACGGGAGGCAGCAGUGGGGAAUCUUAGACAAUGGGGGCAACCCUGAUCUAGCCAUGCCGCGUGAGUGACGAAGGCCCUAGGGUCGUAAAGCUCUUUCACCAGGGAAGAUAAUGACGGUACCUGGAGAAGAAACCCCGGCUAACUCCGUGCCAGCAGCCGCGGUAAUACGGAGGGGGUUAGCGUUGUUCGGAAUUACUGGGCGUAAAGCGCGCGUAGGCGGACUGUUAAGUCAGGGGUGAAAUCCCGGGGCUCAACCCCGGAACUGCCCUUGAUACUGGCAGUCUCGAGUUCGAGAGAGGUGAGUGGAACUCCGAGUGUAGAGGUGAAAUUCGUAGAUAUUCGGAAGAACACCAGUGGCGAAGGCGGCUCACUGGCUCGAUACUGACGCUGAGGUGCGAAAGUGUGGGGAGCAAACAGGAUUAGAUACCCUGGUAGUCCACACCGUAAACGAUGAAUGCCAGACGCCGGGCAGCAUGCUGUUCGGUGUCACACCUAACGGAUUAAGCAUUCCGCCUGGGGAGUAUGGCUGCAAGGUUAAAACUCAAUGGAAUUGACGGGGGUCCGCACAAUCGGUGGAGCAGGUGGUUUAAUUCGAAGCAACGCGCUGAACCUUACCAACCCCUGACAUCCUAGUUGCGGUUACCGGAGACGGUUUCCUUCAGUUAGGCUGGACGACUGACAGGUGUUGCAUGGCAGUCGUCAGCUCGUGUAGUGAGAUGUUCGGUUAAGUCCGGCAAC
This 951-nucleotide ribosomal RNA is filed under the name uncultured organism. RNAcentral's name for it is "bacterial SSU rRNA". It matches the Rfam family "Bacterial small subunit ribosomal RNA", at positions 110 to 1093 of the family's 1533-position model. The record is from RNAcentral.